This 606-nucleotide ribosomal RNA is filed under the name uncultured fungus. RNAcentral describes it as "eukaryotic LSU rRNA". The stretch from base 225 to 379 matches the Rfam family "5.8S ribosomal RNA". The record is from RNAcentral. Lineage: Eukaryota; Fungi.
UCCGUAGGUGAACCUGCGGAGGGAUCAUUACCGAGUUAGGGUCUCACCGGCCCGAUCUCCCAACCCUUUGUCUACUUGACCAUCGUUGCUUCGGCGAGCCCGUCCUCACGGACCGCCGGGGGGUCUUCGCACCCCUUGGCCCGCGCUCGUCGACAGCCCCCAAAUUUAAAAAAAUCUUAACUAAACGUGUCUUGAAUCUAAGUAUUAUUGUUAAAUAAAAACAAAACUUUCAACAACGGAUCUCUUGGUUCUGGCAUCGAUGAAGAACGCAGCGAAAUGCGAUAAGUAAUGCGAAUUGCAGAAUUCCAGUGAGUCAUCGAAUCUUUGAACGCACAUUGCGCCCUUUGGUAUUCCGAAGGGCAUGCCUGUUCGAGCGUCAUUAUCACCCCUCAAGCCCUCGGCUUGGUGUUGGACGGUUUGGUGGAGACCCCCUUCGCGGGCUUCUACCCCUCCCAAAGACAAUGACGGCGGCCUCGUUGGACCCCCGGUACACUGAGUUCUUCACGGGACACGUAUCGGACACACGGGUUUACGGGACACGGUCUGCCUCCCCUCAGGGAGAAUCUUCUUAUCAAGGGUUGGACCUCGGGGGAUCAGGGGGUAGGG